This is a non-coding RNA of Kogia breviceps (pygmy sperm whale), 347 nucleotides long. The record is from RefSeq and is a predicted model, not a curated record. NCBI's taxonomy places the organism in Eukaryota, Metazoa, Chordata, Mammalia, Artiodactyla, Physeteridae.
CCCUGUCGCCGGGAGCGGGGAAGGAGCACACACCUUUACAAAUGCAUUUUUGGGUAGAUAUAUAGUUCAAGAUAAAGUAGGGCUAAGUACACUCUUCCCUUGGCUGGCGGGGGAUUGGUUUCAGGACCCUCCAUAGAUAUGGAAGACCAGUAUAUCCAACUGGGCACAGAUGGAAAAAUAUCCCUAUUCCAGCUUCACAAUGAAACCAAAGUUUUGGUGCUUGACACCUGCAGCAGCUGAUAGAGACAAGAAACAUCCAUCAUGAUGGCUGCUCUACUAGCCUAAGUCCCCAAAGAGAGAAGGUUGAAGAGCAGAUCUCUAGCCAAUCUACUCCAGACCCAUAAUGA